CGUUGGCGGCGUGGAUUAGGCAUGCAAGUCGAACGAGAACCCUUGGGCAACUGAGGGGGAAAGUGGCGAAAGGGGCAGUAAGGUAUGGGUAACCUACCCCGGGGAUUGGGAUAGCCUUCCUAACGGAAGAGUAAUACCAGGCGAUCUGGCGAAGACGCAUGUUUUUGCCAGGAAAUGAAUUUCGCCUCGGGAGGGGCUCAUAUAGUAUUAGCUAGUUGGUGGGGUAACGGCCCACCAAGGCUCAGAUGCUUAGCGGGUGUGAGAGCACGACCCGCGCCACUGGCUCUGAGACACUGGCCAGACUCCUACGGGAGGCUGCAGUCGAGGAUCUUCGGCAAUGGGCGCAAGCCUGACCGAGCGACGCCGCGUGUGCGAUGAAGGCCUUCGGGUUGUAAAGCACUGUCGAGGGGGAGGAAAGCCGCAAGGUUUGACCUAUCCCUGGAGGAAGCACGGGCUAAGUUCGUGCCAGCAGCCGCGGUAAGACGAACCGUGCGAACGUGGUUCGGAAUCACUGCGCUUAAAGGGCGCG
Molecule: ribosomal RNA, 529 nt
Filed under: uncultured bacterium
Lineage: Bacteria
Description: bacterial SSU rRNA
Rfam family: Bacterial small subunit ribosomal RNA
Source: RNAcentral